RNAcentral lists this non-coding RNA (25 nucleotides) under Cricetulus griseus (Chinese hamster). Lineage: Eukaryota; Metazoa; Chordata; Mammalia; Rodentia; Cricetidae. The record is from RNAcentral.
AUAGUAAGGAGUUUAGGGCAAGAUG